Molecule: transfer RNA, 74 nt
Filed under: Pseudo-nitzschia multiseries
Lineage: Eukaryota; Bacillariophyta; Bacillariophyceae; Bacillariales; Bacillariaceae
Also listed under: 2 other names
Description: tRNA-Asp
Rfam family: tRNA
About the family: Transfer RNA (tRNA) molecules are approximately 80 nucleotides in length. Their secondary structure includes four short double-helical elements and three loops (D, anti-codon, and T loops).
Source: RNAcentral
GGAAAUGUAGCUUAAUUGGUUAAAGCGCCGACCUGUCACGUCGGAGACUGUGGGUUCGAGUCCCAUCUUUUUCG